Molecule: transfer RNA, 69 nt
Filed under: Ictidomys tridecemlineatus (thirteen-lined ground squirrel)
Lineage: Eukaryota; Metazoa; Chordata; Mammalia; Rodentia; Sciuridae
Description: Spermophilus tridecemlineatus (thirteen-lined ground squirrel) tRNA
Rfam family: tRNA
About the family: Transfer RNA (tRNA) molecules are approximately 80 nucleotides in length. Their secondary structure includes four short double-helical elements and three loops (D, anti-codon, and T loops).
Source: Rfam by way of RNAcentral
GGGGCUGUAGCUCAGUGGCAGAGCGCUUGCCUAGCAUGUGUGAGGCCCUGGGUUCGAUCCUCAGCACCA